AACGAACGCUGGCGGCAUGCCUAACACAUGCAAGUCGAACGAAGGCUUCGGCCUUAGUGGCGCACGGGUGCGUAACGCGUGGGAAUCUGCCCCUCGGUUCGGAAUAACAGUUAGAAAUGACUGCUAAUACCGGAUGAUGACUUCGGUCCAAAGAUUUAUCGCCGAGGGAUGAGCCCGCGUAGGAUUAGGUAGUUGGUGGGGUAAAGGCCUACCAAGCCGACAAUCCUUAGCUCGUCUGAGAGGAUGAUCAGCCACACUGGGACUGAGACACGGCCCAGACUCCUACGAGAGGCAGCAGUGGGUAAUAUUGGACAAUGGGCGAAAGCCUGAUCCACGAAUGCCGCUUGAGUGAUGAAAGCCUUAGGGUUGUAAAGCUCUUUUACCAGGGAUGAUAAUGACAGUACCUGGAGAAUAAGCUCCGGCUAACUCCGUGCCAGCAGCCGCAGUAA
This 449-nucleotide ribosomal RNA is filed under the name uncultured bacterium. RNAcentral's name for it is "partial 16S ribosomal RNA". It matches the Rfam family "Bacterial small subunit ribosomal RNA", at positions 29 to 523 of the family's 1533-position model. The record is from RNAcentral.